GCUGGUGUGGCUCAAAGGCAGAGCAAUCGCCUUGUAAGCGAUGGGUUGCGGGUUCAACUCCUGUCACCAGCU
This 72-nucleotide transfer RNA is filed under the name Trichormus sp. M33_DOE_039. RNAcentral's name for it is "tRNA-Thr". It matches the Rfam family "tRNA". Rfam says of the family: Transfer RNA (tRNA) molecules are approximately 80 nucleotides in length. Their secondary structure includes four short double-helical elements and three loops (D, anti-codon, and T loops). Lineage: Bacteria; Bacillati; Cyanobacteriota; Cyanophyceae; Nostocales; Nostocaceae. The record is from RNAcentral.